Molecule: RNA transcript, 4019 nt
Organism: Daphnia magna
Lineage: Eukaryota; Metazoa; Arthropoda; Branchiopoda; Diplostraca; Daphniidae
Gene name: condensin-2 complex subunit G2
Exons: 19
Source: RefSeq, a predicted model, not a curated record
GUAUGAGCGGGAAAGAAGCAACAAUUGAUAUUUGAUACUGAAACAUUCAACUGAAACAGAUGGACCACCAAGCUCUUCUACGUGCAGUAGAAACGUCAGAUUGUAAAGUUUUUAUCGAGUGGUACAAGAGAGUGGAAACUGAGAAUAUCUCGGCUGUUAGAGAAUCAGUUGAUCGCCUGUCCAACAAAGAUCUAUGUGGAAUAUGGACAGUGUUCACCAAAUGGGUUGCACACGCAACCAAUUCAUUGAAAGAAAAUCCAAAUUUGCCCGAAAAUGAUUCAAUCAUGACUACUUUACUGUUCAUGUCAACCAUGGCUACCUACACCAUCCACAACAUGUCUAACAAUGAACCUCAAGGAUUACAGCCAUCUGUAAAAGCCAUGAAUGGAUCUUUGAAGUUUGUAAACUGCAAGAAAGCAGCAACAAGCAUUUGCAAAAUGAGCGAACACUACUGGAAAGUUCAUCCUGAACUUGAAACUUUUCUAUCCAUCAACACCAUUCAAUGGUUCCUUACUCAAGCUAUUCAUCCAAAAGCAACACUAGUUUCUGUGAAACAGUUAUGGGACAUGAAACAAUCAAUUGAGAAGUUAAAUGCUUUGAUCCUUGAAAGUUCUGGAUUAUUGACAUUGUUUCUUUCUGCUAUUUCCAAUUCCAAAUUUAUUGGCUCCAAUGAAGGACAAAAAUGUAUUGCUUGCCUGUUUAACUUUAAUACAGUUAUUGUACAGGUGUUGCAAAAAACAGUGAAAAAGUUUAUCCCACUUGCAACAGUGAACGAUUGUGAAUCAUUGGGGGAGAUUUAUUUUAAGGCGUGGAGAAUGGCUACUGAACAACGCCGUGCAGACAUCGAAUUUGCCAUUCAAGAUCUCAUGUACCAUGCAGUUGUAGCUUGUCGCAAACCAUUAGGAGUCAUUGAAGGUGGAGUUAAUAAGGUGCCUAUGAACAAACUGCUUUUCCAUCUUCUACAUUCCAUCCAUCGUCAGCGAAAACAGCGCACUGUUGCAGUCCUUAUCCACAUUCUUUAUAAACCUAUUCUGUGGCGUUAUCUGGAGGCGUCCAACGGCUUGGUACGUGGGAAUGCAUUGUGUUUAUUUUUUGACGCCUUCCCAUUUGAAAGUGGAGAAGGGUUUGAGGAGGAUGAGGCUGUGCGUACGAAGCAGUGGGCGAUAAUGCUUGGUGCCCUGAUGGAUCCCGUACCCCUUGUACGAACAAUCGCAAUACAGGGCACAUGCCGGAUUCUAUCUCAAUACUGGGAAAUAGUGCCAGUUAAUAUCAUUCAAGACUUCAUUACAUGUUUGAUGAGAAAGUUGCUGUAUGACUCAUCCUCCGCUGACGUCCGUGCUCAUGUAGUAAAGGGUUUGGUAAUGAUGCUAGAGAGCAGACAAACCCACAGCCUUCUUGAGAAAAUGAUUCCCCUUACCAACAAAGUACUUCAUGAUCCCAAUGAAAAAGUACGGUCUGAAUAUGUUUUUUUGCUAACACACGUCCAAAAAUUAAGAGUUAGCAAACUAUGGGAGGUGAUUGAUGUAAAUCAGUUAGUUGGCCGGCUUGCAAUGGAAACCUCAAAAAACGUAUGCAUUCGCCUCGCAACUCUUUUGGCCCCAUUCUAUUGUCCCAAAAGUACGCCAGAAAUAGUUUUCCAGCGCUGUUUACGUCUUAUCAUCGAUAACCGGUUAGCUUCUAGGAAAUUUUACCAAUACAUAGAUACAUGUGUGGGGAUUGAACAAAUUGCGCAAUUGAUCCUAAUCAUAUGGAAGUUUUUACGCAACCAUAUCCACAAACAGUUGCAGCGCAAUAAAAGUAGCCAGCAAAGAGAGGAAACAGCUAAUCAACGACGCCCUUGUGGGGCUAAGAGGUCUCGACAAGGCGAAGGUGCGGAAAGCAUUCCAAAUACGACUGAAAACGAGGACAAAGAAAAUCAAGAUGGAUCCACCGACAGUGAGGAAACUGGCAAUGAAGAAUUUAGUGAAUGCAGCAUCAUAGGAUUGAUCGAUGUAGUGUGUAUCCUUCUUAGCGUAAACAAGACGAAAUUCAAGGCACCGCCAAACGUUGUAUAUUGGGAGAAUAUCAAGUCACGUUUUUCGAAAACGUGUUCACUUUUCUUCCGCUAUUUCAAGAACUCGGAAGGUCUUCGACCGCUUAUCUGCCUCUAUGGUUUGAUGUCUUCCACAUCGUCCACGUUGCUGUUGAGCUUUGUCAAAUCUCAGUUGAAAUCGCUAACGGAUGAAGCGACAUGUAAGGAGUUUAGUUAUUUGGUAGACGUCAUGUGCACUUGGGGUCGCGGAGAAGAUUUAUUAGAUCUAAUAACCGAUCACCUCCAAGGAAAUCUAAUGAAUUUCAUAGCCGAAAAGUCUCCCCUCUCCGAUACUCGUAAAGGCAAAGCUACUAGGAAAAAGCGAGUCUCGUUCGAAACGCCCAAGGACAGUAAGCCUUUGUUGGGAUUACGUUGCAUGGCCUACAUUCUGCAGCACCCCUACAAUAAGAAGAUCAUUUUGCGCAAAAAUUUGGAACAGAUAGAAAAACUAUGCGAGACGCUAAAGGCUGUCUUAUUAAUUGCGGAAAACAAUCCCAACAGGCUAACCAACCGGGAAAGUUUCUUAUUUGUUGCAGCUUCUUUAUACGUGAAAAUGGUCCUGGUGUUAGCUUGUUCAUAUAAAAGAGAAAAGUCUGAUUUGAAGUAUAUGGAGUCACAAAAAAAUAUUGUCGGAAUACUCAGCUGGACGAAGAGGUUAAUGGAAAAUGAAGAUCUAAACCCGAUUCUAGGGGAUCUGAUUUCAUCUGCAGUUUCUUCCAUCAGUAACUUGGUCAUGAUUCACUCCAUGACUUGGGAAGUCUUUCGUCAGUUUUUGGAUGUUGUUCUUCAAGUAGUUACGAAGUAUCCGUCAUCGAAGAACUUGACUCUCGCUAUGAACUGUGCAUACCAUUCCUUGGUUUUCGUUUGGAGCGAGCGUUCAAUAGGAAACGAAUGUGAUGUUGAAUGCGAAAGCCGGAUCAAUCUGAUCAUCAACUGCGUUUUGGAGUGCGCUAGCCUGGUGACAGCGUCUGGUAGUAGUACGAGAUUCUGCUUAGAUGAGGACGAUUGGUCUCUGGUAAGAGAUAUUGUAAAGAAAAUCUUGGAAGAAUGUCAUCGUCAUCGCCCGGAAAAGCACGAAAGUAUACGUGAAAUCGUUCGCAAGAUGGUAGAUACCAUUAGAUCGGAUAUGAUGCAGGUUCAGUCGCCUGGACAAGGAGAUGGCAAAAAGAAGGCGGAUGAUGCAAGUUGUCAGCAUCAAUUGUCAAAAGCUAUAAUUGCAGCAUUCCGUACCCAAAAUUCAUUGGCGAAAAUGAUACUGGAUGAAUUUUUUGAAGUAUUCCAGAGCAACGAAAAUGAAACGGCGGAAACUCUAAAUGGCGUUGAUGUGCGUCAAUGAUGAAGGUUACGAGUGACAAGUUAAAUGGGUGUUUGUUACGUUACCCUGUUUUGUGUUUCAAAAGAUUUUUCGUCAAAAAAUUUACGGCAUGUUGUUAUUUAUUCAGUACUUAACGGCUCCCGGUGUUUGCGAAGUUCCCGAUAGACUGAGGGGGAAAAAACCACGCGGUAUUAUCAUAAUUGAACACUGAUUUCGCUUAAGUUAUUGGUUUUCUCGUCAAACCAGCAAUUUUUUUAUUUAAAAAAUAAGAUGCUGAUAGCACACCAACUUUUUUUUAAUGUUCAGUUAAAUUGGAUUGGAAUUCGAAACUGGCUUGUCGCUAGAUGGUAUCGUGAUCUAAGACAUCUGGUGGGCAAAUUUUGAACUUUAUCAUUGUGAUUCGUUUUUUGCGCAUGAUCAUGAAGAAUGGAUGGUGUGUGUGUGUAGAAUUACGAUCCCUAAUCUUUGUGUUUUCGAAGGAUUAUUUAGCUAAAAUCUAUUGAGUUGGAGGAAGAUCAAUGCCCUAUAUUCUGUAGACUGGAUUACCUCCAAUGGCUUCGUGGGAAAGUGGGAAGGGUAUAGCCUUACCACUUUUGUCAAAAUCGGCCAAAAAUGACAUCUCUUGAAAUUCUC